AAGCCACCCACGUACACUUUUUUUUUUUUUUUUAAAUCACAAAGCUCUUUCCAGUUAGAUUUCUAUUCCUGAUUGACUUGGGGUGGGGUUCAUAGAAUGGGUGACAUCUGAGCCGUGUGCCACUAAAUUUGAAAAUGUUGGAAAAGGAGACAGAGGGAAGAAGUGGAAAAGAACUGAGGAUGUGAGAAUGAAAACAGAUACAUCUACCGGUUCACUGCUUCCAGAAUGCGCCAGGCUGUUGUCCUCCUCCUGCUUCCACACACACUUUGCCUGGAAUGCCUUUCUCCCAGAGAGUCUUGAUUCUUGGACAAACCGAUACCCAUCCUUCAAAGCCCAGCUCGAAAGACACCUCCUCCAGGAAGCUGCC
RNAcentral lists this long non-coding RNA (367 nucleotides) under Mustela putorius furo (domestic ferret). RNAcentral's name for it is "lncRNA (ENSMPUG00000025212.1)". The record is from RNAcentral. Lineage: Eukaryota; Metazoa; Chordata; Mammalia; Carnivora; Mustelidae.